This 465-nucleotide ribosomal RNA is filed under the name uncultured bacterium. RNAcentral's name for it is "partial 16S ribosomal RNA". It matches the Rfam family "Bacterial small subunit ribosomal RNA", at positions 28 to 507 of the family's 1533-position model. The record is from RNAcentral.
GACGAACGCUGGCGGCGUGCUUAACACAUGCAAGUCGAACGGAAAGGCCCUGCUUGCCGGGUACUCGAGUGGCGAACGGGUGAGUAACACGUGGGUGAUCUGCCCUGCACUUCGGGUUAAGCCUGGGAAACUGGGUCUAAUACCGGAUAGGAGCCAUUUUUAGUGUGAUGGUUGGAAAGUUUUUUCGGUGUAGGAUGAGCUGGCGGCCUAUCAGCUUGUUGGUGGGGUAAUGGCCUACCAAGGCGGCGACGGGUAGCCGGCCUGAGAGGGUGGACGGCCACAUUGGGACUGAGAGGCGGCCCAGACGCCUACGGGAGGCAGCAGUGGGGAAGAUUGCACAAGGGGCGCAAGCCUGAUGCAGCGACGCCGCGUGGGGGAUGACGGCCUUCGGGUUGAAAACUCCUUUCGCUAGGGACGAAGCUUUUUGUGACGGUACCUAGAGAAGAAGCACCGGCUAACUACGUG